RNAcentral lists this long non-coding RNA (204 nucleotides) under Mytilus galloprovincialis (Mediterranean mussel). Lineage: Eukaryota; Metazoa; Mollusca; Bivalvia; Mytilida; Mytilidae. The record is from RNAcentral.
GCUUUGGCGAUCCAUUUCUUGCUUUUAUAAAUCUUUAUUAUCAAACAAGUUUACUAUCAUAAUGAACAAAAAUGGCAUUGAUUUCGACGGACAUUAUCAGUGAAUCUCGCCCUUCUGCUAUUGAAAAUAGAAGAAGACUACAACAGGAAGUAAGGAAGGCUUCAAAUUUCUGUCUGAAUGAUUUACAAGAUUAAAUGGGUUAGA